UGCGUAGGUGGGUCUGUAAGUCAGUGGUGAAAUCCCCGAGCUUAACUUGGGAACUGCCGUUGAUACUAUAGAUCUUGAAUAUCGUGGAGGUAAGCGGAAUAUGUCAUGUAGCGGUGAAAUGCUUAGAUAUGACAUAGAACACCAAUUGCGAAGGCAGCUUACUACACGAUCAUUGACACUGAGGCACGAAAGCGUGGGGAGCAAACA
Molecule: ribosomal RNA, 207 nt
Filed under: uncultured bacterium
Lineage: Bacteria
Description: partial 16S ribosomal RNA
Rfam family: Bacterial small subunit ribosomal RNA
Source: RNAcentral